AUGAGGUGUCAGGCGGCAUUCUUGUGACAGACGGUGCCUUAUUUACCUCCUGAUUACCUCAGGUUUUCUGGCUAGUUUGCCUCCUCAGACUUUGCUUCAACCGGACGGGUGACGACUGGAAAGCCCUAGUUCAGGCUUUUAAUUUCUAAUAUGUGACGUGCACAUUUCAGUCAGAUUAUGAGAGAGUGGCACUUAUAUGAUGACCCUGAAGGGACAGAAGUCUCUUGUCUGCCUGGAUGGAGACAAACUCAUUCACACACAGAAAUGGGACGGCAAGGAAACAAAAUUUGUGAGAGAAAUUAAGGAUGGCAAAAUGGUCCUGGUAAGUGACAAGUGACUACGCUUUAUUUUCUAUUUCUACUCUCUCUUCCUCCCUCUUCUCUCCUUCCCUCCCUCCUUCUUUUCUCUCCCCUUCCUCUCUCCUUGCUUUUCCUUUAGAAUAAUACUGUCGGGCCGGGGAUUUAGCUCAGUGGUUCCAUCACCUGCCUUGCAAGUGCAAGGACCUGAGUUUGAUCGCCGGUACCAAAACAAAAAACAACAACAAAAAAACCCAAACUAGAAUAAUACUGUCACUAGCAAGGUUCUUUAACAAUAUAUCAAUAGGAGAAACAAAAAGACCCAGCUGAUUGUUUUCUUAGCUGAGGCUCUGUGAUUAUAGAAAAAAGCCUAUUUGGCAUAGUUUUUUGUUUUUUAAGUGUACCAUUGGCUUACCCAAAACUGCAUGUGAAAGCAAUUUUUGCAUUACUAUGAAUACCUAACCUUCAAGUGAAAUUUAGAGGCAAAAGCAAUAACCACAAAAUAUAUAAAGAAGAUUGUCCUAGUUACUUUUUUCAUUGAUGAAACAAAAUACCCGACACCCACAAGUUAAGGGAGAAAAUUUGUAUUUGGUUUGCAGUUUGUAGAGGAUUUAGUCUGUAGUCCGCUGGCAGGAUGGCACACGAGGGGCACCACAGAGGAGACACAGCUCACUGCAGGCAAAGACAGAGAAAGCAAUGAGGGACCGCCACAGCUCCUUCUGCCUCUUAUACUUUAUCUAGGCUCCUUAGGGCGGGCGGUGCUCACAUCCUUAAUCCUAGUGCCCUCGAGCCUAGUACUACUGCACCA
This 1104-nucleotide long non-coding RNA is filed under the name Fukomys damarensis (Damara mole-rat). RNAcentral's name for it is "lncRNA (ENSFDAG00000029013.1)". The record is from RNAcentral. Lineage: Eukaryota; Metazoa; Chordata; Mammalia; Rodentia; Bathyergidae.